CACAUGAUUCUUCCCCCUUCCAUGAUUCCAGUGGCCAAUAGGAAUUCUAAUUGGAACAGACAAAAACCCAAUACAUGUUUAAGCAGUAAAGUAUUCAUCAGGUCACAAAAAGAGGAGCAAAAGGAGCUGACUCUUUAUGUCAUACCUCGGCCUUAUAAUUUGAUUCUUUGCCAACAUGCACAGUUUUUUUCCAUAGGCUGUGCAUUGGGACAAACUACAAUAAAGCCAUGCCCUGACUGGAUGUGCCUAACAUUUGUCUGGUGCUUAAAGGAGUUGGCUGCAUGCAUGGGAUGGAGAAGGAUUCAACAUUUAAUGGCAGUUAGAAUCAAAUUUUUAACGCAAGAAGGCAGAAGGAAUCCACCGAAAUAAAUGUUGGAAAGUCACCAAAAAUAGUUCUCCAAGUCAGAAGCGGUGCAAAAGCUGCCUCAGCUCUUGGUGGAUUUUCAAUUUCUCCCAGCCAUCUCUGUUUCUCUAAAGGUUUCUGAAGACAGUGGGUAUGUGGCAAAAUUCUGCAAUUCUAUAUUAAGAUAAACUGUUAGAUCAAUUA
RNAcentral lists this long non-coding RNA (547 nucleotides) under Pan troglodytes (chimpanzee). RNAcentral's name for it is "lincRNA". The record is from RNAcentral. Lineage: Eukaryota; Metazoa; Chordata; Mammalia; Primates; Hominidae.